Molecule: ribosomal RNA, 329 nt
Filed under: uncultured eukaryote
Lineage: Eukaryota
Description: partial 18S ribosomal RNA
Rfam family: Eukaryotic small subunit ribosomal RNA
Source: RNAcentral
CCCUUAGAUGUUCUGGGCCGCACGCGCGCUACACUGACACGUUCAUCAAGUCUAUAACCUUGACCGAGAGGUCUGGGUAAUCUUUUAAAAACGUGUCGUGCUGGGGAUAGAUUAUUGCAAUUAUUAAUCUUCAACGAGGAAUUCCUAGUAAACGCAAGUCAUCAACUUGCAUUGAUUACGUCCCUGCCCUUUGUACACACCGCCCGUCGCUACUACCGAUUGAAUGAUUUAGUGAGUACCAGGGACCGAGCGCUUUGGUUGGGUUUCCUUCCCUAGCGCUUGGGAACUGUCGCAAACUUGACCAUUUAGAGGAAGUAAAAGGCGUAACA